CCCUUAGAUGUUCGGGGCCGCACGCGCGCUACACUGAAGGAAUCAGCGCGCCUUUCUCCUUGUCCGAAAGGACUGGGUAACCCGCUGAACCUCCUUCGUGCUAGGGAUUGGGGCUUGUAAUUCUUCCCCAUGAACGAGGAAUUCCCAGUAAGCGCGAGUCAUAAGCUCGCGUUGAUUACGUCCCUGCCCUUUGUACACACCGCCCGUCGCUACUACCGAUUGGAUGGUUUAGUGAGAUCCUCGGAUUGGUCCCGGCGCGGCCUCUGGUCGUGCCGGAGUGCCGAAAAGAAUGUCGAACUUGAUCAUCUAGAGGAAGUAAAAGUCGUAACA
This 330-nucleotide ribosomal RNA is filed under the name uncultured eukaryote. RNAcentral's name for it is "partial 18S ribosomal RNA". It matches the Rfam family "Eukaryotic small subunit ribosomal RNA", at positions 1470 to 1796 of the family's 1831-position model. The record is from RNAcentral.